Molecule: ribosomal RNA, 260 nt
Filed under: uncultured Desulfomicrobium sp.
Lineage: Bacteria; Pseudomonadati; Thermodesulfobacteriota; Desulfovibrionia; Desulfovibrionales; Desulfomicrobiaceae
Description: partial 16S ribosomal RNA
Rfam family: Bacterial small subunit ribosomal RNA
Source: RNAcentral
CAUAAUGGUGGGCACUCUGUGGAGACUGCCCGGGUUAACCGGGAGGAAGGUGGGGAUGACGUCAAGUCAUCAUGGCCCUUACGCCUAGGGCUACACACGUACUACAAUGGUGGGUACAAAGGGCAGCGAAACCGCGAGGUCGAGCGAAUCUCAAAAACCCAUCAUAGUCCGGAUUGCAGUCUGCAACUCCCGACUGCAUGAAGUUGGAAUCGCUAGUAAUCCCGGAUCAGCAUGCCGGGGUGAAUACGUUCCCGGGCCUU